CAAACGGGUGGGCCCUCGAAAUCCUUCUUGCGGGGGGAUUCAGUCAGGAAGGGCGGAGGUGUCUGCCGGUUGAUCAGAACGGACCCUUUGAAAGGCCGGGCCGGUUGCACCGUCUCCGUCUUACCUGACGCACUUCCUCCCGCACUAUGGACGCCGCAGCCGGUUGGGUAGCUGCGCGAGUCGGCCAUGAGGGCAGGCGAUGGCAGGUGGCCGGUGGCUUAGCCUCGGCUUCGCCGCCGGUUGUUAGCCGGUUCUUGCCCGUGGCGCGACACCCGACCGAGGUUGAACGGUUCCCUUAAUGGGAACUGGCCUUCCCCUCCUCCACAAGAGUAGCGGGCAUUCCGGCAGGUGUGGCCAGGUGUUGCUUCGUCACUCCCCGUAGUGGCCGGCACUCCGAGCUCACCGCUGGUCGAAAGUUGUCCCGCGGAGGGUUCUACUGGGGCUGGCGGCGAGUAGGUCGGUCACCCACCCGACCCGUCUUGAAACACGGACCAAGGAGUCUAACAUGUGCGCGAGUCAAGGGGUCUUGAUCAGGCCCAGAGGCGCAAUGAAAGUGAAGGCCGUCCUCGACGUCGGCUGUGUUGGGACUCUCCGCCCGCCUCGGCGUGGCGGGGAAGCACCAACGACCCGUCCUAUCCGAUUUAUCGGUUGGGCGGAGUCUGAGCGUACACGUUGGGACCCGAAAGAUGGUGAACUAUGCCUGGGCAGGACGAAGCCAGAGGAAACUCUGGUGGAGGUCCGUAGCGGUUCUGACGUGCAAAUCGAUCGUCAGACCUGGGUAUAGG
This 785-nucleotide ribosomal RNA is filed under the name Plectreurys tristis. RNAcentral describes it as "partial large subunit ribosomal RNA". The stretch from base 335 to 785 matches the Rfam family "Eukaryotic large subunit ribosomal RNA", at positions 1 to 921 of the family's 3401-position model. The record is from RNAcentral. Lineage: Eukaryota; Metazoa; Arthropoda; Arachnida; Araneae; Plectreuridae.